Gossypium arboreum is the source of this 625-nucleotide long non-coding RNA. RefSeq lists it as uncharacterized. The transcript has 2 exons. Lineage: Eukaryota; Viridiplantae; Streptophyta; Magnoliopsida; Malvales; Malvaceae. The record is from RefSeq and is a predicted model, not a curated record.
AAAUCUCGUAUUAAUCGCCUUCAAGUCUAUAUAAACUUGUCGAGGUGAGCAUAGGAGAGCGAAAGGAACGAGAAAUGGGCCAAAAACGGAGAAAAUGGGCCAAUGUACGAAAUCAACACGGCUUGGACUUCCUCACACGGGCAGACUACACGGCAGUGUCAAUUUGGCAGAAUCGAAGCAUGACUUACAUGGGUAGAACACACGCUCGUGCCAUUCUAACAUGUUCGAGUACGGCCUGCAGUAGUCACACGCAGGCGUGUCCCUGCCGAGGCCAAGUUGAGUCCAAUUCGGAAAAGGCUAAUUUUGAGGACUUUUAGGCAUUCUAAAGCCUAUAAAUACACCUGAAGGAAGAGGAAAGGGGCGGAGAAAAGGAGGCAGGGAACUACUCAAGGGAAGCCGAUUGAUCCAUCUCGGAAGUCGAAUUCACCAUCAAGACUGAAAAUUUACCCUCAAUUUCCCUUUAAGAGCUUUGGGUUUUCUUUAUGUUUUGUAUUCAUUAUUCUUCUGAGAUGUUUUCCUUUUUAGUUAUGAACUAAAUCCCCUAAAUACCUAAGGGGAAUGAAACCUAAGACGAAUCUUGUUAUUAUUUUCUGAAUUGUAUGAUAAAUAUUUAACUUAUUCUUAA